GACGAACGCUGGCGGCGUGCUUAACACAUGCAAGUCGAACGGAAAGGCCCUGCUUUUGUGGGGUGCUCGAGUGGCGAACGGGUGAGUAACACGUGAGUAACCUGCCCUUGACUUUGGGAUAACUUCAGGAAACUGGGGCUAAUACCGGAUAGGAGCUCCUGCUGCAUGGUGGGGGUUGGAAAGUUUCGGCGGUUGGGGAUGGACUCGCGGCUUAUCAGCUUGUUGGUGGGGUAGUGGCUUACCAAGGCUUUGACGGGUAGCCGGCCUGAGAGGGUGACCGGCCACAUUGGGACUGAGAUACGGCCCAGACUCCUACGGUAGGCAGCAGUGGGGAAUAUUGCACAAUGGGCGGAAGCCUGAUGCAGCAACGCCGCGUGCGGGAUGACGGCCUUCGGGUUGUAAACCGCUUUCGCCUGUGACGAAGCGUGAGUGACGGUAAUGGGUAAAGAAGCACCGGCUAACUACGUG
Molecule: ribosomal RNA, 468 nt
Filed under: uncultured bacterium
Lineage: Bacteria
Description: partial 16S ribosomal RNA
Rfam family: Bacterial small subunit ribosomal RNA
Source: RNAcentral